GAUGAAGAACGUAGCGAAAUGCGAUACUUGGUGUGAAUUGCAGAAUCCCGUGAACCAUCGAGUCUUUGAACGCAAGUUGCGCCCGACGCCAUCAGGUUGAGGGCACGUCUGCCUGGGCGUCACAUAUCGUUGCUCGAUGCCUAUCGCAUUGCGAUAGGACUUAGGGCGAAUGAUGGCUUCCCGUGAGCGUUGUUGCCUCGCGGUUGGUUGAAAAUCGAGUCCUUGGUAGGGUGUGCCAUGAUAGAUGGUGGUCGAGUUAGCACGAGGCCGAUCAUGUGCAUGCUCCCCAAAAUAUGGCCUCUGUGACCCACACACGUCGUUUGACGCUCAUGACGAGACCUCAGGUCAGGCGGGGCUACCCGCUGAAUUUAAGCAUAUCAAUAAGCGGAGGA
Molecule: unclassified non-coding RNA, 392 nt
Filed under: soil metagenome
Description: partial contains 5.8S ribosomal RNA, internal transcribed spacer 2, and large subunit ribosomal RNA
Rfam family: 5.8S ribosomal RNA (bases 1-122)
Source: RNAcentral